Molecule: long non-coding RNA, 562 nt
Organism: Zea mays
Lineage: Eukaryota; Viridiplantae; Streptophyta; Magnoliopsida; Poales; Poaceae
Exons: 2
Source: RefSeq, a predicted model, not a curated record
GGUGAUGGAUCUCGGAUGAGGAUGUCGGCAUUGAGCAUGCGCAGCAUGCGACUGCUGGUGGCGAUGUGCACGGGGAGAGAGGCCGGAAAAAAUGGAGUUAGGUUUGGGCUGGGGGACGGUUGUUCUUGGCGGAUCAGAUGGCGGAGGCGCGGGGCGCAACGACAGACGAUGUUGAUUUGAUUGGUAUAGAUGGACGAUCGAGAUUCGCGCGAGGCAGAACCAGAUGUUGACAGGCUACCCCUUGCAGCCUUAAUAUAGUUGGCCAAACAUUAUUCUAUAGGGUUAAUACCAGCUACCUUGUUCUAUAAGCUAUGGUCAUGUGGGGAAAUGGUAGGCGAAUGGAAUUUGUUGAGGAUGCAACAAUUCUUCAAAGGAACUUUGUGAUUGAUCUAUUAAGUUACGAGGACAAUUCAUGCCGCUAUGUCAUCCCUGCAAACAUACAACAGAGACUUAUCAAUAUCUCUACAAAGGAAUAGAUUAGUGUACGAUUAUCGAUAUAUUGUUUGUUUUCAUAUAAUUGUUGUGCACUUGCGUUUUAUUAAUAAUUUGUGAGUUGUCGCAA